RNAcentral lists this ribosomal RNA (427 nucleotides) under uncultured bacterium. Its description in RNAcentral is "bacterial SSU rRNA". It matches the Rfam family "Bacterial small subunit ribosomal RNA", at positions 355 to 774 of the family's 1533-position model. The record is from RNAcentral.
UGGGGAAUUUUGGACAAUGGACGCAAGUCUGAUCCAGCCAUGCCGCGUGCGGGAAGAAGGCCUUCGGGUUGUAAACCGCUUUUGUCAGGGAAGAAAUCUUCUGGGUUAAUACCUCGGGAGGAUGACGGUACCUGAAGAAUAAGCACCGGCUAACUACGUGCCAGCAGCCGCGGUAAUACGUAGGGUGCAAGCGUUAAUCGGAUUUACUGGGCGUAAAGCGUGCGUAGGCGGCUUUUUAAGUCGGAUGUGAAAUCCCCGAGCUUAACUUGGGAAUUGCAUUCGAGACUGGGAAGGUAGAGUAUGGGAGAGGAUGGAAGAGUUCCAGGUGUAGCGGUGAAAUGCGUAGAGAUGCGGAGGAACACCGAUGGCGAAGGCAAGCCCCUGGACCUGUACAGACGCUCAUGCACGAGAGCGUGGGGAGCAAGCA